Molecule: ribosomal RNA, 592 nt
Filed under: uncultured Desemzia sp.
Lineage: Bacteria; Bacillati; Bacillota; Bacilli; Lactobacillales; Carnobacteriaceae
Description: bacterial SSU rRNA
Rfam family: Bacterial small subunit ribosomal RNA
Source: RNAcentral
CCUACGGGAGGCAGCAGUAGGGAAUCUUCCGCAAUGGACGAAAGUCUGACGGAGCAACGCCGCGUGAGUGAAGAAGGUUUUCGGAUCGUAAAACUCUGUUGUUAGAGAAGAACAAGGAUGAGAGUAACUGCUCGUCCCUUGACGGUAUCUAACCAGAAAGCCAUGGCUAACUACGUGCCAGCAGCCGCGGUAAUACGUAGAUGGCAAGCGUUGUCCGGAUUUAUUGGGCGUAAAGCGAGCGCAGGCGGUUCUUUAAGUCUGAUGUGAAAGCCCCUGGCUCAACCAGGGAGGGUCAUUGGAAACUGGAGAACUUGAGUGCAGAAGAGGAAAGUGGAAUUCCAUGUGUAGCGGUGAAAUGCGUAGAUAUAUGGAGGAACACCAGUGGCGAAGGCGACUUUCUGGUCUGUAACUGACGCUGAGGCUCGAAAGCAUGGGGAGCAAACAGGAUUAGAUACCCUGGUAGUCCAUGCCGUAAACGAUGANUGCUAAGUGUUGGAAGGGUUUCCCGCCCUUCAGUGCUGCAGCUAACGCAUUAAGCCCUCCGCCUGGGGAGUACCACCCCCANGGUUGAAACUCAAAUGAAUUGACGGGG